UUAAAACUCCGAAACAAAUGA
Molecule: non-coding RNA, 21 nt
Organism: Caenorhabditis elegans
Lineage: Eukaryota; Metazoa; Nematoda; Chromadorea; Rhabditida; Rhabditidae
Source: Ensembl